Molecule: non-coding RNA, 77 nt
Organism: Danionella cerebrum
Lineage: Eukaryota; Metazoa; Chordata; Actinopteri; Cypriniformes; Danionidae
Source: the annotation of a GenBank genome assembly
UCCUCGUUAGUAUAGUGGACAGUAUCUCCGCCUGUCACGCGGAAGACCGGGGUUCGAUCGGGGUAACUCCCGGGGUA